RNAcentral lists this transfer RNA (24 nucleotides) under Niphotrichum panschii. Its description in RNAcentral is "partial tRNA-Leu". The record is from RNAcentral. Lineage: Eukaryota; Viridiplantae; Streptophyta; Bryopsida; Grimmiales; Grimmiaceae.
GGAAUUGGUAGACGCUACGGACUU